Molecule: ribosomal RNA, 250 nt
Filed under: uncultured bacterium
Lineage: Bacteria
Description: partial 16S ribosomal RNA
Rfam family: Bacterial small subunit ribosomal RNA
Source: RNAcentral
GACGUAGGGCGCAAGCGUUGUCCGGAUUUAUUGGGCGUAAAGAGCUCGUAGGCGGCUGGUCGCGUCGACUGUGAAAACCCACGGCUCAACUGUGGGCUUGCAGUCGAUACGGGCUGGCUUGAGUGCGGUAGGGGAGACUGGAAUUCCUGGUGUAGCGGUGAAAUGCGCAGAUAUCAGGAGGAACACCGGUGGCGAAGGCGGGUCUCUGGGCCGUUACUGACGCUGAGGAGCGAAAGCGUGGGGAGCGAAC